This 1808-nucleotide long non-coding RNA is filed under the name Homo sapiens (human). RNAcentral's name for it is "HSALNT0385453". Lineage: Eukaryota; Metazoa; Chordata; Mammalia; Primates; Hominidae. The record is from RNAcentral.
GUUGUGGUAUGUUUCUUCUGUACCCAUUUAUUUGAGGAUUAAUAGCAUGAAGGGAUGUUGAAUUUCAUCGAAUGCUUUUUCAGUUUCAGUUGACAUGAUCAUACUGUUUUUGUCAUUUAUUUAGUUGAUAUGAUGCAUCACAUUGUAUGUUGAGUGACCCUUGCAUCCCAGGGAUACAUUCCACUUGAUCAUGAUGAAUUAUCUUUUUAAUGUAUUACUGAAUUUGAUUCACUGGUAUUCCGUUGAGGAUUUUUGCAUCAAUAUUAGAGAUACUGGCCUGUAGUUUCCUUCUUUGAUGCCUUUGUCUGAUUUUGGUAUCACAGUAAUAAUGGUCUCAUAGAAUAAGUUUGGAAGUAUUCCCUCCUGUUUUUCAAAAUAGUUUGAGUAGGAUUCGUACGAGGUCUUUAAAUUGUUUGGUGUGAAGCCAUCAGCAGUGAAGACAUCAGUUCCUGGGCUUUUCUUUACUGGGAGACUUUUUCUGAUGGCUUCAAUCUCAUUACUUGUUACCAAUCUGUUCUGGUCUUGGAUAUUUUCAUUAUUCAACCUAAGUAGGUUUUAUGCAUCUAGGAAUUUGCCAAUUUCUACUAGGCUUUCCAAUUUAUUGGCAUGUAAUAGCCAGUUAUGAUCCUUUGAAUUUCUGAAGUUAUUAGUUGUAGUGUCUCCUUUUUUUUAAUCUGUUGAUUUUAUUUGAAUCUUGUCUCUUUUUUCUUAGUUAGCCUGGUUAAAAGUUUGUCAAUUUUGUUUAGCUUUCCAGAAAACCAACUUUUCAUUUAAUCUUGUGUGUUUCUUAUUUCAAUUUUAUUUCUGCUACGAUCUUAGUUAUUUUCUUAAUUUCGGUUUAGUUUGUUCUUACUUUACUAGUUCUUUAAGAUGUAUUGUUUAUUUGAAGUUUUUCUUUUGUUUGGAUGGUAGGCACUUAUAGUGUAAAUCUCUGCCUUUGUACUGUUUUCUGCGUAACAAGUUUUGGUAUACUGUGUUUUCAUUACCCUUUGUUUCAUGAAAUUUUUGAAUUUCUGUCUUAGUAUCUUCAUUGACCCGCUAGUCAUUUAUUCAGGAGGGUAGUGUUUAACUUCCAUGUGAUUGUAUUGUUUCCAAAAUUACUCUUCUUACUGAUACCUAGUUUUAUUCCUUUGUAGUCAAAGAAGAUGGCCAGGGAGACAGCAGCGUGGUCAGAGUGGUAGGAGCUGGCCAUCGGUGAGAGCUGCUCCAUGCCUGGCUGCUGGGUUCUAGAGCUUGUGGACCACUGGCUUGCCUCACUGUGGUUGGUGGUGGCGGUGACAGAGUGUGCAGCACGACCAGAGUGGCUUUUCUGGCUUUGCCCGCCCAGCUGCUCCAUGCCAGGAGGAGGAGGAGACACCUAGAGCCUGCGACACCAUGGCUCGCCUCGCUGCAGCCGAGCAUGGUGGUUCACACCUGUAAUCUCAGCACAUUGGGAGGCCGAGGCGGGUGGAUCAUGAGGUCAAGAGAUCGAGACAAUCCUGGCCAACAUGGUGAAACCCCAUCUCUACUAAAAAUACAAAAAAUUAGCCGGGUGUGGUGCUGCGUGCCUGUAGUCCCAGCUACUGGAGAGGCUGAGGCAGGAGAAUUGCUUGAACCCAGGAGGCAAAGGUUGCAGCAAGCUGAGAUCGCACCACUGCACUCCAGCCUGGUGAUAGACCGAGACUCCAUCUCAAAAAAACAAAAAAAAAAUUAAAUUACUUUGUAUACAUAAAGUUCUAAUUUUUUAAAAAAUUGUAAAAUAUCCUAUACGUUCAUUAGUAUUACUUAUUUGUUUUUAUCACUCCAUCAAUGUGAGGCAUAAAUAAAAU